GACGAACGCUGGCGGCGUGCCUAACACAUGCAAGUCUCGGGAGAAAGAGGUAGCAAUACUUCGAGUAAACCGGCGCAAGGGUGAGUAACACGUAGGCAACCUGCCUUCAGGACGGGGACAACUCCGAGAAAUCGGGGCUAAUACCCGAUAAUGCAGCGGCACCGCAUGGUGACAGUUGUUAAAUGCUACGGCGCCUGAAGAUGGGCCUGCGUCCCAUUAGGUAGUUGGCGGGGUAACGGCCCACCAAGCCGACGAUGGGUAGCUGGUCUGAGAGGACGAUCAGCCACACUGGAACUGAGACACGGUCCAGACUCCUACGGGAGGCAGCAGUGAGGAAUAUUGCGCAAUGCCCGAAAGGGUGACGCAGCGACGCCGCGUGGAGGAUGAAGGCCCUCUGGGUCGUAAACUCCUGUUGAGAGGGAAGAAUGGAGCGCUAUAGGCGCUCGUGACGGUACCUCUAGAGAAAGCACCGGCUAACUACGUGCCAGCCGCCGCCGUAA
This 500-nucleotide ribosomal RNA is filed under the name uncultured bacterium. RNAcentral's name for it is "partial 16S ribosomal RNA". It matches the Rfam family "Bacterial small subunit ribosomal RNA", at positions 28 to 523 of the family's 1533-position model. The record is from RNAcentral.